Molecule: non-coding RNA, 997 nt
Organism: Xiphophorus couchianus (Monterrey platyfish)
Lineage: Eukaryota; Metazoa; Chordata; Actinopteri; Cyprinodontiformes; Poeciliidae
Source: the annotation of a RefSeq genome assembly
UCCACAGGAAGUGAUGUUUCUGAGUUAAUUUAGAGGUGGGCUGGAAAUUAAUGUAAAGCCUCUGCAGAGACAGAGAAACAAAUUAUGUGUGUGUGUGUGUGUGUGUGUGUGUGCCGGUUUAGCUAUCAUUAUGAGGACUUAAUCUUGACAAACGACUAACAUUGUGUGGACAUUUAUAGCUGUGAGGACAUUUUGCCAUGUCCACUCAAUAAAAACACAAUUUUUGAGUUAGGCGUUGGGAAUAAGGUGGGAAUUAAAUGGCUCAGGGGAAAUAUCAAGAUUAGUUAUAGAAAUUAAUGGGAGUGUGUGUUUGUGUGUGAGGGCGGAGUUCAACAAAGGCGGUGCUUCCUCAGGGCAGCAUGCACACUGGAGCCGCUGCUGGCUAUGAAGAGAACAAUAGUCAGACUGAAUGUUGAACAUCAGCUGCUUCCUCCUGCUGAUUUAAACCUUGGUGGACAGAUGGAACAUUGGCUGUGGAUUAUUCUGGCUGCUCUUUUCUCUGAGUGUAAAGGAGACUCAGUGAAGCAGACAGAAGGAGAAGUUGUUGCUGCUGCAGGAGAAUCACUGACUCUAAGAUGUACCUUUGAAACAUCCUAUACGACGCCCACAUUGUUCUGGUAUAAGCAAGAAGUAAACAGUUUCCCAAAGUUCAUGCUGAAGCAGAUGUCAUCAACAAAAGACAAAGCUCCAGAGAUCAACAACAACAGAUUUGAUGCUAACCUCAAUAAAUCCAACAAAUCCUUCAACCUGAAGAUCCAGGAUCUCCGUCUGUCAGACUCUGCUGUGUACUACUGCGCUCUGCAGCCCACAGUGACAGGAAACACCAGAACCUUAUACAAAAACCUGCAGUACUCCACAGCAGCCACUAGAGGGCAGCAGCAUCUUCACCUGGUUCCUCUCCAACAGUUCAAAGUGGGAGAAGUCAGAGGAAACCAGUGGAACCAGUUAGGAAACCCACUGGGUUAAAUAGCUCUCCAAUAAAAGCAAAAGUAUUUCU